UAUUAUAGCAAGAGAAUCUUGACAAUACAAUUCUCUAGCAACCACUAUCACUAUGUCAUCUCUCUCUCUUGACUAGUACUUAGACUAAGCUUCGACUCUAAAAUAACAAUUGAAUUUUACAAACCCUUAUAAAUUAUCUAAUAAAUCCUUAUAAAUGAUUUCAGUACUAAAGUCUCAAUAUGCAGAGUCUUUAAUAAACUCGUAAACACAAUUCAUAAAAUUUCAAAACACAAAAUCACAUUGUAUACUCAUCUCUAAUCAACCAUUUACCCUCUUCAGAUUGAUGAAUAUUCUGAAUCUCAAUGUUGCAACAAAUCGUAAUCCAUAAACCGAAAUAGAUAUGAAUGGUAAAAACCCAGAUUCUACAAUCUCCUCAAACCUGCGAAGUGAUCAAAGAUGAUCUGAUGCCAAAGGUUUUGACGAUGAACUCGAUGGAGAAGGACGACUGAUCUCAACAGAGAGGGACGACGGAUCUCGACGGAGAGAGAUGGAUCUCGACGGAAAGAGACCGGAGAGGGGCGAUGGGUCUCGACAGAGAGAAAGAAAAAACGCGAUGGAGAAGAAGAUUAGGUUAGGGUAAUUUAGUCUUUUACACAUUAAUGAAU
This 605-nucleotide long non-coding RNA is filed under the name Brassica napus (rape). Its description in RNAcentral is "long non-coding RNA (BNAP_LNC015703)". The record is from RNAcentral. Lineage: Eukaryota; Viridiplantae; Streptophyta; Magnoliopsida; Brassicales; Brassicaceae.